This 2852-nucleotide ribosomal RNA is filed under the name Staphylococcus aureus. RNAcentral's name for it is "bacterial LSU rRNA". It matches the Rfam family "Bacterial large subunit ribosomal RNA". The record is from RNAcentral. Lineage: Bacteria; Bacillati; Bacillota; Bacilli; Caryophanales; Staphylococcaceae.
UUAAGUUAUUAAGGGCGCACGGUGGAUGCCUUGGCACUAGAAGCCGAUGAAGGACGUUACUAACGACGAUAUGCUUUGGGGAGCUGUAAGUAAGCUUUGAUCCAGAGAUUUCCGAAUGGGGAAACCCAGCAUGAGUUAUGUCAUGUUAUCGAUAUGUGAAUACAUAGCAUAUCAGAAGGCACACCCGGAGAACUGAAACAUCUUAGUACCCGGAGGAAGAGAAAGAAAAUUCGAUUCCCUUAGUAGCGGCGAGCGAAACGGGAAGAGCCCAAACNNCUGGAAAGAUGAAUCAAAGAAGGUAAUAAUCCUGUAGUCGAAAAUGUUGUCUCUCUUGAGUGGAUCCUGAGUACGACGGAGCACGUGAAAUUCCGUCGGAAUCUGGGAGGACCAUCUCCUAAGGCUAAAUACUCUCUAGUGACCGAUAGUGAACCAGUACCGUGAGGGAAAGGUGAAAAGCACCCCGGAAGGGGAGUGAAAUAGAACCUGAAACCGUGUGCUUACAAGUAGUCAGAGCCCGUUAAUGGGUGAUGGCGUGCCUUUUGUAGAAUGAACCGGCGAGUUACGAUUUGAUGCAAGGUUAAGCAGUAAAUGUGGAGCCGUAGCGAAAGCGAGUCUGAAUAGGGCGUUUAGUAUUUGGUCGUAGACCCGAAACCAGGUGAUCUACCCUUGGUCAGGUUGAAGUUCAGGUAACACUGAAUGGAGGACCGAACCGACUUACGUUGAAAAGUGAGCGGAUGAACUGAGGGUAGCGGAGAAAUUCCAAUCGAACCUGGAGAUAGCUGGUUCUCUCCGAAAUAGCUUUAGGGCUAGCCUCAAGUGAUGAUUAUUGGAGGUAGAGCACUGUUUGGACGAGGGGCCCCUCUCGGGUUACCGAAUUCAGACAAACUCCGAAUGCCAAUUAAUUUAACUUGGGAGUCAGAACAUGGGUGAUAAGGUCCGUGUUCGAAAGGGAAACAGCCCAGACCACCAGCUAAGGUCCCAAAAUAUAUGUUAAGUGGAAAAGGAUGUGGCGUUGCCCAGACAACUAGGAUGUUGGCUUAGAAGCAGCCAUCAUUUAAAGAGUGCGUAAUAGCUCACUAGUCGAGUGACACUGCGCCGAAAAUGUACCGGGGCUAAACAUAUUACCGAAGCUGUGGAUUGUCCUUUGGACAAUGGUAGGAGAGCGUUCUAAGGGCGUUGAAGCAUGAUCGCAAGGACAUGUGGAGCGCUUAGAAGUGAGAAUGCCGGUGUGAGUAGCGAAAGACGGGUGAGAAUCCCGUCCACCGAUUGACUAAGGUUUCCAGAGGAAGGCUCGUCCGCUCUGGGUUAGUCGGGUCCUAAGCUGAGGCCGACAGGCGUAGGCGAUGGAUAACAGGUUGAUAUUCCUGUACCACCUAUAAUCGUUUUAAUCGAUGGGGGGACGCAGUAGGAUAGGCGAAGCGUGCGAUUGGAUUGCACGUCUAAGCAGUAAGGCUGAGUAUUAGGCAAAUCCGGUACUCGUUAAGGCUGAGCUGUGAUGGGGAGAAGACAUUGUGUCUUCGAGUCGUUGAUUUCACACUGCCGAGAAAAGCCUCUAGAUAGAAAAUAGGUGCCCGUACCGCAAACCGACACAGGUAGUCAAGAUGAGAAUUCUAAGGUGAGCGAGCGAACUCUCGUUAAGGAACUCGGCAAAAUGACCCCGUAACUUCGGGAGAAGGGGUGCUCUUUAGGGUUAACGCCCAGAAGAGCCGCAGUGAAUAGGCCCAAGCGACUGUUUAUCAAAAACACAGGUCUCUGCUAAACCGUAAGGUGAUGUAUAGGGGCUGACGCCUGCCCGGUGCUGGAAGGUUAAGAGGAGUGGUUAGCUUCUGCGAAGCUACGAAUCGAAGCCCCAGUAAACGGCGGCCGUAACUAUAACGGUCCUAAGGUAGCGAAAUUCCUUGUCGGGUAAGUUCCGACCCGCACGAAAGGCGUAACGAUUUGGGCACUGUCUCAACGAGAGACUCGGUGAAAUCAUAGUACCUGUGAAGAUGCAGGUUACCCGCGACAGGACGGAAAGACCCCGUGGAGCUUUACUGUAGCCUGAUAUUGAAAUUCGGCACAGCUUGUACAGGAUAGGUAGGAGCCUUUGAAACGUGAGCGCUAGCUUACGUGGAGGCGCUGGUGGGAUACUACCCUAGCUGUGUUGGCUUUCUAACCCGCACCACUUAUCGUGGUGGGAGACAGUGUCAGGCGGGCAGUUUGACUGGGGCGGUCGCCUCCUAAAAGGUAACGGAGGCGCUCAAAGGUUCCCUCAGAAUGGUUGGAAAUCAUUCAUAGAGUGUAAAGGCAUAAGGGAGCUUGACUGCGAGACCUACAAGUCGAGCAGGGUCGAAAGACGGACUUAGUGAUCCGGUGGUUCCGCAUGGAAGGGCCAUCGCUCAACGGAUAAAAGCUACCCCGGGGAUAACAGGCUUAUCUCCCCCAAGAGUUCACAUCGACGGGGAGGUUUGGCACCUCGAUGUCGGCUCAUCGCAUCCUGGGGCUGUAGUCGGUCCCAAGGGUUGGGCUGUUCGCCCAUUAAAGCGGUACGCGAGCUGGGUUCAGAACGUCGUGAGACAGUUCGGUCCCUAUCCGUCGUGGGCGUAGGAAAUUUGAGAGGAGCUGUCCUUAGUACGAGAGGACCGGGAUGGACAUACCUCUGGUGUACCAGUUGUCGUGCCAACGGCAUAGCUGGGUAGCUAUGUGUGGACGGGAUAAGUGCUGAAAGCAUCUAAGCAUGAAGCCCCCCUCAAGAUGAGAUUUCCCAACUUCGGUUAUAAGAUCCCUCAAAGAUGAUGAGGUUAAUAGGUUCGAGGUGGAAGCAUGGUGACAUGUGGAGCUGACGAAUACUAAUCGAUCGAAGACUUAAUCAA